RNAcentral lists this ribosomal RNA (433 nucleotides) under uncultured bacterium. RNAcentral describes it as "partial 16S ribosomal RNA". It matches the Rfam family "Bacterial small subunit ribosomal RNA", at positions 29 to 507 of the family's 1533-position model. The record is from RNAcentral.
AACGAACGCUGGCGGCAUGCCUAACACAUGCAAGUCGAACGAGACCUUCGGGUCUAGUGGCGCACGGGUGCGUAACGCGUGGGAACCUGCCCUUAGGUUCGGAAUACCUCCCCGAAAGGGGUGCUAAUACCGGAUAAUGUCUUCGGACCAAAGAUUUAUCGCCUUUGGUUGGGCCCGCGUUGGAUUAGCUAGUUGGUAGGGUAAAAGCCUACCAAGGCGACGAUCCAUAGCUGGUCUGAGAGGAUGAUCAGCCACACUGGGACUGAGACACGGCCCAGACUCCUACGGGAGGCAGCAGUGGGGGAUAUUGGACAAUGGGCGAAAGCCUGAUCCAGCAAUGCCGCGUGAGUGAUGAAGGCCUUAGGGUUGUAAAGCUCUUUUACCCGGGAUGAUAAUGACAGUACCUGGAGAAUAAGCUCCGGCUAACUCCGUG